This 835-nucleotide ribosomal RNA is filed under the name Pseudarthrobacter sp. Its description in RNAcentral is "bacterial SSU rRNA". It matches the Rfam family "Bacterial small subunit ribosomal RNA", at positions 17 to 864 of the family's 1533-position model. The record is from RNAcentral. Lineage: Bacteria; Bacillati; Actinomycetota; Actinomycetes; Micrococcales; Micrococcaceae.
UCAUGGCUCAGGAUGAACGCUGGCGGCGUGCUUAACACAUGCAAGUCGAACGAUGAUCCCAGCUUGCUGGGGGAUUAGUGGCGAACGGGUGAGUAACACGUGAGUAACCUGCCCUUAACUCUGGGAUAAGCCUGGGAAACUGGGUCUAAUACCGGAUAUGACUCCUCAUCGCAUGGUGGGGGGUGGAAAGCUUUAUUGUGGUUUUGGAUGGACUCGCGGCCUAUCAGCUUGUUGGUGAGGUAAUGGCUCACCAAGGCGACGACGGGUAGCCGGCCUGAGAGGGUGACCGGCCACACUGGGACUGAGACACGGCCCAGACUCCUACGGGAGGCAGCAGUGGGGAAUAUUGCACAAUGGGCGAAAGCCUGAUGCAGCGACGCCGCGUGAGGGAUGACGGCCUUCGGGUUGUAAACCUCUUUCAGUAGGGAAGAAGCGAAAGUGACGGUACCUGCAGAAGAAGCGCCGGCUAACUACGUGCCAGCAGCCGCGGUAAUACGUAGGGCGCAAGCGUUAUCCGGAAUUAUUGGGCGUAAAGAGCUCGUAGGCGGUUUGUCGCGUCUGCCGUGAAAGUCCGGGGCUCAACUCCGGAUCUGCGGUGGGUACGGGCAGACUAGAGUGAUGUAGGGGAGACUGGAAUUCCUGGUGUAGCGGUGAAAUGCGCAGAUAUCAGGAGGAACACCGAUGGCGAAGGCAGGUCUCUGGGCAUUAACUGACGCUGAGGAGCGAAAGCAUGGGGAGCGAACAGGAUUAGAUACCCUGGUAGUCCAUGCCGUAAACGUUGGGCACUAGGUGUGGGGGACAUUCCACGUUUCCGCGCCGUAGCUAACGCAUUAAG